RNAcentral lists this unclassified non-coding RNA (258 nucleotides) under Hevea brasiliensis (rubber tree). Lineage: Eukaryota; Viridiplantae; Streptophyta; Magnoliopsida; Malpighiales; Euphorbiaceae. The record is from RNAcentral.
AACGAACUCAGACAUCUUAUCAAUAGCUCGGAUUACUUGCUGCAAAGUAAGCCUCCAAGCAUCACUUGAAGCAACAUAUGGAAUUUUGCCAGAGCGCAUGUAUCUCAAAGCAGCAAAAUUAUGCAGUGAGCACAACAUCCUUGUCAGCUGGCACCAAGAUGGUUUCAUUUGCCCCAAAGGAUGUAGACCUGUUCAUGACCCUUUCAUAGUAUCUUCAUUACUUCCCCUUCCUGGUCAAGUGAAUAGAACUGGAAGUAU